GUAUAAACAAGGUGAGGUUGGGUGAGAACCCUCGUCGGUUCGAGCCGAGCGUAGCGAGACAAUGUUGGAGCCUGCGACAACUACCCGAAGGGCACGGUAAUCCCUCCCUCACCGCCA
This 117-nucleotide small RNA is filed under the name Thalassolituus oleivorans. RNAcentral describes it as "RtT sRNA". It matches the Rfam family "RtT RNA". Rfam says of the family: This family represents a bacterial cis-regulatory element known as RtT RNA. The exact function of RtT is unknown although it is thought that it may be involved in changing the cellular response in relation to amino acid starvation. The record is from RNAcentral. Lineage: Bacteria; Pseudomonadati; Pseudomonadota; Gammaproteobacteria; Oceanospirillales; Oceanospirillaceae.